Molecule: transfer RNA, 75 nt
Filed under: Verrucomicrobiales bacterium
Lineage: Bacteria; Pseudomonadati; Verrucomicrobiota; Verrucomicrobiia; Verrucomicrobiales
Also listed under: 2 other names
Description: tRNA-Arg
Rfam family: tRNA
About the family: Transfer RNA (tRNA) molecules are approximately 80 nucleotides in length. Their secondary structure includes four short double-helical elements and three loops (D, anti-codon, and T loops). Further hydrogen bonds mediate the characteristic L-shaped molecular structure. tRNAs have two regions of fundamental functional importance: the anti-codon, which is responsible for specific mRNA codon recognition, and the 3' end, to which the tRNAs corresponding amino acid is attached (by aminoacyl-tRNA synthetases). tRNAs cope with the degeneracy of the genetic code in two manners: having more than one tRNA (with a specific anti-codon) for a particular amino acid; and 'wobble' base-pairing, i.e. permitting non-standard base-pairing at the 3rd anti-codon position.
Source: RNAcentral
GGGCUCAUAGUACAAUGGAUAGUAUGAUGGCCUCCGAAGCCAUAGAUCCAGGUUCGACUCCUGGUGAGCCUACCA